Molecule: ribosomal RNA, 231 nt
Filed under: uncultured bacterium
Lineage: Bacteria
Description: partial 16S ribosomal RNA
Rfam family: Bacterial small subunit ribosomal RNA
Source: RNAcentral
UGAGGAACAUGACCUUCGGCGGGGGAUAGCCGGCCCAACGGCCGGGUAAUACCGCGUACGACCACAUGGGGACAUCCCUGAGUGGUGAAAGCAGCAAUGCGCCGAUGGAGUGCCUCGCGGCCUAUCAGCUAGUUGGUGAGGUAAUGGCUCACCAAGGCGACGACGGGUAGCUGGCCUGAGAGGAUGGCCAGCCACAUUGGGACUGAGACACGGCCCAGAUCCCGUACGGGG